Molecule: ribosomal RNA, 406 nt
Filed under: uncultured bacterium
Lineage: Bacteria
Description: partial 16S ribosomal RNA
Rfam family: Bacterial small subunit ribosomal RNA
Source: RNAcentral
AUUGAACGCUGGCGGCAGGCCUAACACAUGCAAGUCGAACGAGUGGCGGACGGGUGAGUAAUGUCUGGGAAACUGCCUGAUGGAGGGGGAUAACUACUGGAAACGGUAGCUAAUACCGCAUACCAUCGGAUGUGCCCAGAUGGGAUUAGCUAGUAGGUGGGGUAAAGGCUCACCUAGGCGACGAUCCCUCGCUGGUCUGAGAGGAUGACCAGCCACCUGGGAACUGAGAUACGGUCCAGCAUCCUCAGGUGGGGAGCAGUGGGGAAUAUUGAACAAUUGGCGAAAGCCGGAUGCAGCCAUGCCGCGUGUAUGAAGAAGGCCUUCGGGUUGUAAAGUACGUUCAGCGGGGAGGCGUUACCCGCAGAAGAAGCACCGGCUAACUCCGUGCCAGCAGCCGCGGUAAUAC